Molecule: ribosomal RNA, 22 nt
Filed under: Candidozyma auris
Lineage: Eukaryota; Fungi; Ascomycota; Pichiomycetes; Serinales; Metschnikowiaceae
Description: [Candida] auris partial 18S ribosomal RNA
Source: RNAcentral
UUAACCUGCGGAAGGAUCAUUA